This is a long non-coding RNA of Mustela putorius furo (domestic ferret), 2321 nucleotides long. Lineage: Eukaryota; Metazoa; Chordata; Mammalia; Carnivora; Mustelidae. The record is from Ensembl.
CCCGGAGGGGUGGUAGGUGGACAGGCGGUGGAGCUGAUGUUUGGGGUUGAUUCAGGACCCCAUUCAGAGCCCCGAGUGAUCACUAGCAAGAAGCAGCUGGUCACACAGUGAUUCUCACUGAGUCCCUCCAUUUGGAUUUCAGAAUCAAGCUGAUUCUCUGGGGACACGACAACCAAGAAGUCUGUGUUCUCUUAUUCCCUCCAUGAUCCAAGAGAACACCUUUUUAGUCCUCCCUUUUGGACACCAGCUGUACUACGAAGAUCCUCAUCCCACUCAGAGUAAAACCUCAAGACCUUCAGUGGCAUGUGACCCCCAUUGCUUCUCCGAAUUCGUCUGCCACUCUCUCUGCCUUUCUGCACUUCGGACGCAUGGGCCUCCUUCCUGUUCCUGGAGCACAGCAGGUGCUCUCUACACUGUUCCUGCUGCCUUGAUUGUUCCCUCUGCCUCUGACACUGUUUUUCAGAUAUCCACAUGGUUCCCUCUCUCACAUCCUCCAAAUCUCUGCCCAGAUGUGUCCUUCUCAGUGAGACCUGAUCACCCUAUUUACAGCUGCAGCUAUGUAUUUAAAACUAUUAGGUUGGCUAUAGUUCUUUUUGGGGGGGUGGGGGGCAGGUACUUUUUUAUUAGGCUAAGGAAGUUUCUACUCCUAGUUUGCUGAAAUUUUUAAAAACAGACAGUUAUUGAAUUUCCUGAUUUCAUUGAUUUUUUUCUUCUGCCUACUGAGAUCAUCAUGCCUCCUUUAGUAUGGCAAUGUGGUUAACUGCAUUAAUACAUUUUCUAAUAUUAAACCAGCCCUGCAUUUCUGGAAUAGCCAAGUAGCCCAAUAGGGAGACCGCGAGCAGAGCAUGGCAAUCUUGCUGAGUUGAGGAGAGAGAUACAGGCAUUUGGAGAGCCCGAAGCAGGUGAGAUUUGCAGAGCAGAACCCCAGAGAGGAGGAUCCUAUGCAGAGAAAGACUUCUGAGAAUCUGGAGACUGUUACAAAUACUAAGCCACAAAUACACAGGGGGAAAAUCCGUGAAGCUGGUCAGAGGCCAUCUGGAGAACUGGAAACUGAACAGGACCUGGGUAAUACCCAAGCUCCAAACAGCUAGAGUGGAGAGUUGUCACCGAGCACAGGCACCUCACAGACCGCAGAAGGGUCAGCAUCACCAGUGGAGCUGAACUAUUUCUACAGGAAAGGCUAUUAAAGAUCUGUCCAAACAAAGCUGAAAAACAUUCUUUCAGAGAAUUAACCUAAUCUGCAAAUAACCUGACUUCCUGUUAGAACAGUCUGGUACUCUUGAAAUGAAGGCAGCGAACUCUGGCACUCAACAAUGCACAGUUGGGGACACCUGGGUGGCUCAGUGGGUUAAGCCUCUGCCUUCAGCUCAGGUCAUGAUCCAGGGUCCUGGGAUCGAGCCCCGCAUCGGGCUCUCUGCGCAUCAUCCCUGCUUCCCCCACCCUCUCUGCCUGCUUCUCUGCCUGCUUGUGAUCUCUGUCUGUCAAAUAAAUAAAUAAAAUCUUUAAAGAAAAACUGCACAGUUGACAAUGUGCAGCAUCCAAUAAAAAAUUACUUGACAUGAGACAAGGUGAUCAAAUGUGACCCAUAAUCUGGAGCAGAAUCAGUCAAUAGAAACAGAGUCAGAAAUGACAGAGAUGAAAUGAUUGACAGACAAGGACUUUAAGUCACUCACUGCAACUAUCCUCAAAGACUUAAAGGAAAUCAUGUAAUGUGGAGCAAAGUGUAAGAUAGUAAAAAAACCCCAAAAGCUCCUUGUGGCACUGAAAAUUUCAAUAUAUGAAAUGAAACUUUCACCAGAUGGGAUUAAUAGGAGAUUAGAAUCUGCAGCAGAACAGAUCAGUGAACUCGUAAGCAUGGUAAUGGAUACUUAUCAUUCACACUAAUGCACAGAGGAAAAAAAGAAGAAAACCCCACCAGAUCCUCUCUGACCUGUGGGACAAUGUUGAGCAGCAUGGAUAUGUGUGAUUGUGUGUAAUGAAGUCCCAGGAAGAGGAGGGACAGGGAUGAAGUAGAUUUGAAGAGGGUGCCUGUUGGCUUAGUCAGUUAAGCGUCUGCCUUCUACUCAGGUCAUGAUUCUGGAAUCCCAGGAUCGAGUUCCCCAUCAGUCUCCCUGCUCAGCAGUGAGUUUGCUUCUCCUUCUGACCUGCCCUCCUCUCGUGCUUUCUCUCUCACAUGCUCUCUCUCUCAAAUAAAUAAAUAAAAUCUUUAAAAAAAAAUAGAUUUGAAGAGCUAAUGGCCAAAGCGUUUUCCACAUUUUUAAAAAAAGAUUUUAUUUAUUUAUUUGACAGAGAUCACAAGUAGGCAGAGAGGCAGGCAGAGA